AUGCUCGCUGCUGCGGCCGGGCUCAUCUUCUGGAGAUAUGACCGGAACUCCUCGCUCCUGCUCGACACCAGCACCAUGGCAUUCUCCAUCGUCCCUCUGCCAGUUACAAUAACGACGCACACGAUGAUGCCGCCGGGAGCAUACGCCAUCGGAGACACCGAGGCCGGUGUGUGUUGCCUUUUGCUUAUGGUCGGCAGGACUACGCUGCAAGUGUGGCUACUCAAGAAGAAGGACGGCGGUGGCGGGCAUGCGUGGGAGUUGGAGAAGCAAAGCCAUAUCGGCUGGCUGGACAGCUUCAACCGGCGGUUCGGCGUUCAUAUGGUGGCUGCUGGGCUGGAAAUUGUUUACUGUAUGAGUUGCAAAUUUUCUCACUUUGUCAUUGAUCUCAAGGACCUGAGCCUCAUGGAUAAGUUCCGUUGUCAUCGAACCAUGGCGUACCCUUUCCAAAUGCCAUGGCCACCUGCUGCGUUGGUGCCUACUUCUCCGUGUGAUCGACCCACCACACCCCAAACAUAUGCUUGCGGAGAUGCUCAAAAUCAACACGAAGCACCCUCUUCUAGUAGGAAGCGCAAGAGCAAUGAUGAAGUGGAGCCAUGUAUUCUCGUAGCUUCUUUGAAGAAGGAAUUUGUCGGAUAA
RNAcentral lists this ribosomal RNA (636 nucleotides) under Triticum aestivum (bread wheat). RNAcentral's name for it is "partial small subunit ribosomal RNA". Lineage: Eukaryota; Viridiplantae; Streptophyta; Magnoliopsida; Poales; Poaceae. The record is from RNAcentral.